Long non-coding RNA from Cercocebus atys (sooty mangabey), 401 nucleotides. RefSeq lists it as uncharacterized. The transcript has 5 exons. Lineage: Eukaryota; Metazoa; Chordata; Mammalia; Primates; Cercopithecidae. The record is from RefSeq and is a predicted model, not a curated record.
AGGAUGGAGGGUAAAAGUGUUCUUCUCUGAAAUAAAUGUGGUGUUUCCUGACAGCAUUUGUCAAGAAGGAAAGGUCAAAAAUAAAGCACUGAUGGAAACACACGAUAAAUAAGAACGUCUUUCUUUCUUAAUGUUGUGACUGCAUUAUUACCGCCUUCUGGUUGAAAUUAGUUAGUCGUCCUACAGUAACAGGUCAUCAAAUUCCAGUCAUGCAACCGGAGCUUCUGACCAUGGCCCCUUCUGCUGAGAACUCUUAGAUCGGCCUCUGAAAGAGCUCUGACUGUUGUUUCCCCAAAACACUCCCUGGCAGCAGGAAGCAGUUAAUAUUGGUCUUUGGCCAGCUUCAAGAAUGAUAGAGGCUACAAGGUGCUUCCAAGAACCGUAUAAAGAGGGAGUAAGGU